CUACUAGCUAUUCUGUAGCAAGAAUAAUUUAAAGCGUGCUGCUUUGAAAUGAGACUCCCUUCUCGCUUCACAAUUACUUUCGAAUUGUAAUGAGGAAAUAAAACAAGUGUUAUUUGAAGGGUUAAUUGAGUCUGCUCCGGCAAGCUCUUUGACACCUCAUAUUACGCAUAUACGCAAUGAGGUGAUUAGGUAAUUGAAAUGGGGAGCCAGCGUCAUAUGAACAAAUUAAACUACUCAACACAAUAGAGUAGCACUUGUUUUCAAAAACUAUUUGGUGUACUUUAAGCUGUAGCUUCGGUUAGAUGGCAGACGCUCGAAGGUCUCACUCAGAAAUUUCUAAUUUUGCCUAUUGGCUAUUAGUUAACAAAUUUGUCGUGGAUCGAUAACUGCAGGUAAUCCAUAUGAAGUUGUUAGGAGCUAAUGUCCAUUGCAGAGUCUUAACGCAUGCAGAAAUCUGGCAACCAAAACAUGAGAAUACUGGACCCGGUCAUAGGGAACAAGUGGCACGCCACCGAUCGAGGCAAGCUGAGCAUUAGACACUUUAUGUCUGUUGAACAGGACGAGCUUCAUCCUAUCAGAACGAAAAGUUAUCAGGACUAAUAUUAGCAGUACCCCUGCAUAAGGAAGGAAGAUACGAUUGCUUGGUCUGAAAUCCUACGGAGACUUGUGAGGGAUAUUUCCACGUGCGCGGGAUGUUUUCAAAAAUAUUACAAAUUUGGCAAUUACUUUGACAAGCAACAAAAACGCCAAGUUCAGUUACACAAACUAUCAAUGUGAGCAGCAGCAGGAAAUUCACCAAUCAAGAAGCAGAAAAACAAGGCAAUUCGUAAAAUGUUUUCCUUAUAUGUGUACGUGUAUAUACAUAGUUACAGUAAUAAAAUCUUCGUUGACAAAAUAAAUUUGUUGCCUUUAUGUAGACAUAUUUUAACAACAAAAUAGCGCCGAUGUAUGCAACAUCGAAAGCAGCCACGUAUUAGCGCUCUCAACUAGCAGCGUGUCAAUGUUGAAGUUAUCGAAAUUUCUUUCAUCGAAACUCAUUGCAAUCCGACACUUUGGCUAAGUUGUGACGCCAAUGCGGAUGUGCGUCAACAAAUUGACAG
This is a long non-coding RNA of Rhagoletis pomonella (apple maggot), 1100 nucleotides long. RefSeq lists it as uncharacterized. NCBI's taxonomy places the organism in Eukaryota, Metazoa, Arthropoda, Insecta, Diptera, Tephritidae. The record is from RefSeq and is a predicted model, not a curated record. The transcript has 3 exons.